Phthorimaea operculella (potato tuberworm) is the source of this 76-nucleotide non-coding RNA. The record is from the annotation of a GenBank genome assembly. NCBI's taxonomy places the organism in Eukaryota, Metazoa, Arthropoda, Insecta, Lepidoptera, Gelechiidae.
ACCGCAGUAGCCCAGUUGGUAGAGGCUUUGCCAUUACAGAUGGUGAAAGUCGCGGGUUCAAAAACUGCCUGCGGUG